AUUCAGCUGAUGAGUUCAAAAUAGGAUGAAGCGCAAUUCCUGGAU
Molecule: non-coding RNA, 45 nt
Organism: Schistosoma mattheei
Lineage: Eukaryota; Metazoa; Platyhelminthes; Trematoda; Strigeidida; Schistosomatidae
Source: Rfam